UCAUGAUUUGAAUGGUACACCUGUGAUCACAGCAUAUCAAAAGGGUGUGGAGGAUGGAAAUGUGAUUGCCUGCCCCAGCUCUGCCAAGGCUCACUGACCAGGCUGAUGGUUGUUCAGAAGGCUCCAGAGCAUCAUCUAACCAGAUGAUCUAACCAGAACAAAAGGGAAGCAUCCUAAGGGACGUACAGUACCACUGUGAGAUCAGGCCACUCUCUCAGCCAAGGUUCUGGAUGAGUGUUUUGAAAAAUAACACUCCUUUUCCUAAAACAAUGGAUCCUGAGGAAAAUUGUGCAAUACAUCAAUCCUGCGGAGAUUUGUGGUUUGAGAAGAAGGUUAGAGAGAGGGAACAAACAGAAGAGAAGGACUCUAAAUUGGCAAUAAACUUUAUUAAAUCCCUGUAGUUCUUGCAGUUUGAAAUCUGCUAAGUGUAUUAUAUGUCAUUUAGCCACAUAUGCGUUGUUAGAGUGAGCUCAGGGAGCAAUAGCUAUACCAUGAAAGUUAUGGUAGUUAUUCUGCUCUGAAAUACU
Long non-coding RNA from Oxyura jamaicensis (ruddy duck), 527 nucleotides. RefSeq lists it as uncharacterized. Lineage: Eukaryota; Metazoa; Chordata; Aves; Anseriformes; Anatidae. The transcript is spliced from 2 exons. The record is from RefSeq and is a predicted model, not a curated record.